AUGAAGGAGCCGACGACGACGCUAAUCACGGAUAGGAUCUCUAAUUUAAUCUACCAGCUCCAUGGCUUGGCUAUCGAUGAUGCUCGCUCCUACGGCAGCGCCGCCUGGGCAGGGGCAGGGGCCGGGGCGCCGUCGUCUUUCUUGGCAGCGAGGCGCGCCGCCGCGCGCUCGGCGCGGCGGGCCUUGGCGAUGGCGCGGACGGCGGGGGAGGCGCCCUCGCCCUCGCCCUCGCUCUCGCUCCGGAGCCGAAUCUGCAUGACGCGGCGGUGGGAGUUGGAGUGCAGCAGCGGGGAGAAGGUGGGGCUGUUGGCCGGCCGGUACUCCGGGAGCAGCCGCCCCGUCUUGUACCGCACGCCGCACGCGUUGCACAGCGUGCGGGGGCCCAGCGGCCCCUGCCGCCACUGCGGGGUCACCUCCGACGCGCAGUGCGUGCACCGCCGCGCCGCCGGGAGCGGCGGCGGCAGCGUGGGCGGCUCCGCCAGGUUCCACGGCGCCGUCACCCGGCGCCGACGCCCCUUCGUCCUCGGCCCCACCGCCGGCCGCCCCGACGGGGCCGCCGGCGCCGGCUCCGGCACCUCCUCCACCGCCUCCACCGCCAUGGUCUCCACCGACGGGAACGCGUCCUUGUUCGACAGCCACUCGAGCUCCUCCAAAUCCUCCUCCCCCGCCGCCGCCCCGGCCGCCAGUUCCCCAUCCCCCGCCGCCGCCGCCACCUCCAACCCCUACAAAAAAAAACACAAAACUUUGUUUAGCCCCUUCUAUCUAUCUAACCAAACCCUCGGCCACAGUCAGGAGGGGGGCAAGGGAGAAGCAGCCACCGUCUGGUCAAAGAAGCUAUUGAAGCUGGGCAGGUCCUGGGCCAGCGCCGCCGCCGCGUGCUUGUCAACAUCGCCGCCGCCCACCAUGGUCGCCGCCGCCAGGAGAACGCACGCGGGCACAGGGAUGGAAAGAAAUGGAAAACAAAAGCGGCUCGAUUGCUCCGACGCUCCUACUGUUCGAUCGAUCCGGUGGCCUUUUUAUCGUCAGCGCCUCGACCCCUUUCCUGGAGGAUUUUUGUUGCUAUCUUUGCUCAAGCGGGAGCGGAGUGAUUAA
This 1092-nucleotide ribosomal RNA is filed under the name Triticum aestivum (bread wheat). Its description in RNAcentral is "partial small subunit ribosomal RNA". Lineage: Eukaryota; Viridiplantae; Streptophyta; Magnoliopsida; Poales; Poaceae. The record is from RNAcentral.